UACGGAGGGUGCAAGCGUUGUUCGGAAUUACUGGGCGUAAAGCGCGUGUAGGCGGUCGCUUAAGUCUGAUGUGAAAUCCCUCGGCUUAACCGGGGAACUGCGUCUGAUACUGGAUGGCUUGAGUUCGGGAGAGGGAUGCGGAAUUCCAGGUGUAGCGGUGAAAUGCGUAGAUAUCUGGAGGAACACCGGUGGCGAAGGCGGCAUCCUGGACCGACACUGACACUGAGGAGCGAAAGCCAGGGGAGCAAACGGG
RNAcentral lists this ribosomal RNA (253 nucleotides) under uncultured bacterium. Its description in RNAcentral is "partial 16S ribosomal RNA". It matches the Rfam family "Bacterial small subunit ribosomal RNA", at positions 524 to 776 of the family's 1533-position model. The record is from RNAcentral.